UGAGGAACAUGACCUUCGGCGGGGGAUAGCCGGCCCAACGGCCGGGUAAUACCGCGUACGACCAUUUUGGGACAUCCCUGAAUGGUGAGAGCAGCAAUGCGCCGAUGGAGUGCCUCGCGGCCUAUCAGCUAGUUGGUGGGGUAACGGCCUACCAAGGCGUCGACGGGUAGCUGGCGUGAGAGCGUGGCCAGCCACACUGGGACUGAGAUACGGCCCAGACUCCUACGGGAGCAG
Molecule: ribosomal RNA, 234 nt
Filed under: uncultured bacterium
Lineage: Bacteria
Description: partial 16S ribosomal RNA
Rfam family: Bacterial small subunit ribosomal RNA
Source: RNAcentral